GACGAACGCUGGCGGCGUGCUUAACACAUGCAAGUCGAGCGGUAAGGCCCUUUCGGGGGUACGACGAGCGGCGAACGGGUGAGUAACACGUGGGUGACCUGCCCUUAGCUCUGGGAUAAGCCUGGGAAACUGGGUCUAAUACCGGAUAUGACUCCAUGACGCAUGUUGUGGGGUGGAAAGCCUUGUGCGGCUAGGGAUGGGCCCGCGGCCUAUCAGCUUGUUGGUGGGGUGAUGGCCUACCAAGGCGACGACGGGUAGCCGGCCUGAGAGGGCGACCGGCCACACUGGGGACUGAGACACGGCCCAGACUCCUACGGGAGGCAGCAGUGGGGAAUCUUGCGCAAUGGGCGAAAGCCUGACGCAGCGACGCCGCGUGAGGGAUGACGGCCUGGUGUAAC
RNAcentral lists this ribosomal RNA (398 nucleotides) under uncultured bacterium. RNAcentral's name for it is "bacterial SSU rRNA". It matches the Rfam family "Bacterial small subunit ribosomal RNA", at positions 28 to 429 of the family's 1533-position model. The record is from RNAcentral.